UUUGUUUGGAGAGUUUGAUCCUGGCUCAGGACGAACGCUGGCGGCGUGCUUAACACAUGCAAGUCGAACGGUGAAGGGGCCUGCUUUUGUGGGUCCUGGAUGAGUGGCGAACGGGUGAGUAACACGUGAGUAACCUGCCCCCUUCUUCUGGAUAACCGCAUGAAAGUGUGGCUAAUACGGGAUAUUCUGUGCCUGCUGCAUGGUGGGUGUGGGAAAGAUUGCGCCCUUUUUGGGUGUUUU
Molecule: ribosomal RNA, 240 nt
Filed under: Actinomyces sp. HMSC075C01
Lineage: Bacteria; Bacillati; Actinomycetota; Actinomycetes; Actinomycetales; Actinomycetaceae
Description: partial 16S ribosomal RNA
Rfam family: Bacterial small subunit ribosomal RNA
Source: RNAcentral